UUCCGGAUUUGAGCUAACAGAAGAAUCUUG
RNAcentral lists this non-coding RNA (30 nucleotides) under Mus musculus (house mouse). Lineage: Eukaryota; Metazoa; Chordata; Mammalia; Rodentia; Muridae. The record is from RNAcentral.